CGUAAAGGAAGGUGGAUUACUCAUUACACUGAUGUUGAAAAGGUUCCAUGCUUCAAAGUUGGGCAGCAUGUUCGGUUUCGAACUGGAUUAGUUGAGCCAAGAUGGGGCUGGAGGGGUGCCCAGCCUGAUUCACGGGGCAUAAUAACUAGUGUUCAUGCUGAUGCAGAAGUGAGGGUUGCUUUCUUUGGUUUGCCAACAUUGUGGAGGGGAGAUCCUGCAGAUCUUGAGAUUGAGCAGAUGUUUGAAGUGGGAGAAUGGGUCAGACUGAAGGAAGAUGCGGGUAACUGGAAAUCCAUUGGGCCACGCAGCAUUGGUGUUGUACAGGGUAUAGUUUAUGAUGGGGAUGAAUGGGAUGGAAGCACUUAUGUGGGCUUUUGUGGGGAGCAAGAAAGAUGGGUGGGACCUACUUCCCAUCUUGAAAGUGUAGGAAAGCUCAUAGUUGGACAGAAGGUUAGGGUUAAACUCUCUGUGAAACAGCCGAGAUUUGGGUGGUCAGGUCACAGUCAUGCGAGUGUUGGAACAAUAUCCGCAAUUGAUGCUGAUGGGAAACUGAGAAUAUAUACUCCUGUAGGCUCGAAAACUUGGAUGCUUGAUCCCUCAGAAGUGGAGCUGGUGGAGGAAGAGGA
This 626-nucleotide unclassified non-coding RNA is filed under the name Hevea brasiliensis (rubber tree). Lineage: Eukaryota; Viridiplantae; Streptophyta; Magnoliopsida; Malpighiales; Euphorbiaceae. The record is from RNAcentral.